GCCCCGAAUAUCCGGGCUACACGCGGGUUACAAUGGUCAGGACAAUGGGUAUCGACACCGAGAGGUGGAGGCAAUCUCCUAAACCUGUCCUUAGUUCGGAUUGUGGGCUGCAACUCGCCCACAUGAAGCUGGAAUCCGUAGUAAUCGCGUUUCAAAAUAGCGCGGUGAAUAUGUCCCUGCUCCUU
RNAcentral lists this ribosomal RNA (185 nucleotides) under uncultured Methanolinea sp. RNAcentral describes it as "partial 16S ribosomal RNA". It matches the Rfam family "Archaeal small subunit ribosomal RNA", at positions 1153 to 1338 of the family's 1478-position model. The record is from RNAcentral. Lineage: Archaea; Methanobacteriati; Methanobacteriota; Methanomicrobia; Methanomicrobiales; Methanoregulaceae.